UACGGAGGGUGCGAGCGUUGUCCGGAAUCACUGGGCGUAAAGGGCGCGUAGGCGGCCACCGCAAGUCGACUGUGAAAUCUCCGGGCUUAACCCGGAAAGGUCAGCCGAUACUGCGGGGCUAGAGUGCAGAAGGGGCAACUGGAAUUCUCGGUGUAGCGGUGAAAUGCGUAGAUAUCGAGAGGAACACCUGCGGCGAAGGCGGGUUGCUGGGCUGACACUGACGCUGAAGCGCGAAAGCUAGGGGAGCGAACGGG
RNAcentral lists this ribosomal RNA (254 nucleotides) under uncultured bacterium. RNAcentral describes it as "partial 16S ribosomal RNA". It matches the Rfam family "Bacterial small subunit ribosomal RNA", at positions 524 to 776 of the family's 1533-position model. The record is from RNAcentral.